RNAcentral lists this ribosomal RNA (433 nucleotides) under uncultured bacterium. Its description in RNAcentral is "partial 16S ribosomal RNA". It matches the Rfam family "Bacterial small subunit ribosomal RNA", at positions 29 to 507 of the family's 1533-position model. The record is from RNAcentral.
AACGAACGCUGGCGGCAUGCCUAACACAUGCAAGUCGAACGAGACCUUCGGGUCUAGUGGCGCACGGGUGCGUAACGCGUGGGAACCUGCCCUUAGGUUCGGAAUAACUCCCCGAAAGGGGUGCUAAUACCGGAUAAUGUCUUCGGACCAAAGAUUUAUCGCCUUUGGAUGGGCCCGCGUUGGAUUAGCUAGUUGGUAGGGUAAAAGCCUACCAAGGCGACGAUCCAUAGCUGGUCUGAGAGGAUGAUCAGCCACACUGGGACUGAGACACGGCCCAGACUCCUACGGGAGGCAGCAGUGGGGAAUAGUGGACAAUGGGCGAAAGCCUGAUCCAGCAAUGCCGCGUGAGUGAUGAAGGCCUUAGGGUUGUAAAGCUCUUUUACCCGGGAUGAUAAUGACAGUACCGGGAGAAUAAGCCCCGGCUAACUCCGUG